GCCCUUGGAGGAAAGUAGGGGAUCGAAAGACCUUGCGCUUAAGGAGCGGCCGAUGUCUGAUUAGCUAGUUGGUGGGGUAAAGGCCUACCAAGGCGACGAUCAGUAGUUGGUCUGAGAGGACGACCAACCACACUGGGACUGAGACACGGCCCAGACUCCUACGGGAGGCAGCAGUGGGGAAUUUUGGACAAUGGGCGCAAGCCUGAUCCAGCCAUGCCGCGUGAGUGAAGAAGGCCUUCGGGUUGUAAAGCUCUUUCAGUUGGGAAGAAACGAUUACAACUAAUAAUUGUAAUUAAUGACGGUACCGACAGAAGAAGCACCGGCUAACUACGUGCCAGCAGCCGCGGUAAUACGUAGGGUGCGAGCGUUAAUCGGAAUUACUGGGCGUAAAGGGUGCGCAGGCGGUUUUGUAAGUCAGAUGUGAAAUCCCCGGGCUUAACCUGNGAAUGGCGUUUGAAACUACAAAGCUAGAAGGGCGAAUU
This 482-nucleotide ribosomal RNA is filed under the name uncultured ammonia-oxidizing bacterium. RNAcentral describes it as "bacterial SSU rRNA". It matches the Rfam family "Bacterial small subunit ribosomal RNA", at positions 192 to 655 of the family's 1533-position model. The record is from RNAcentral.